GACGAACGCUGGCGGCGUGCUUAACACAUGCAAGUCGAACGGAAAGGCCCUGCUUUUGUGGGGUGCUCGAGUGGCGAACGGGUGAGUAACACAUGAGUAACCUGCCCUUGACUUUGGGAUAACUUCAGGAAACUGGGGCUAAUACCGGAUAGGAGCUCCUGCUGCAUGGUGGGGGUUGGAAAGUUUCGGCGGUUGGGGAUGGACUCGCGGCUUAUCAGCUUGUUGGUGGGGUAGUGGCUUACCAAGGCUUUGACGGGUAGCCGGCCUGAGAGGGUGACCGGCCACAUUGGGACUGAGAUACGGCCCAGACUCCUACGGGAUGCAGCAGUGGGGAAUAUUGCACAAUGGGCGGAAGCCUGAUGCAGCAACGCCGCGUGCGGGAUGACGGCCUGCGGGUUGUAAACCGCUUUCGCCUGUGACGAAGCGUGAGUGACGGUAAUGGGUAAAGAAGCACCGGCUAACUACGUG
RNAcentral lists this ribosomal RNA (468 nucleotides) under uncultured bacterium. RNAcentral describes it as "partial 16S ribosomal RNA". It matches the Rfam family "Bacterial small subunit ribosomal RNA", at positions 28 to 507 of the family's 1533-position model. The record is from RNAcentral.